Molecule: non-coding RNA, 128 nt
Filed under: Ornithorhynchus anatinus (platypus)
Lineage: Eukaryota; Metazoa; Chordata; Mammalia; Monotremata; Ornithorhynchidae
Source: RNAcentral
GUGUUGUAUGAAAGGAGAGAAGGUUAGCACUCCCCUUGAGAAGGAUGGAAAUGGUCCUAGUGGCCUUUACAAUGCAUAUAUGGUUAAGGCAUUGCCACCAACUUUGUGGCAUCUAACCAAGUUUUUCA